UACGUAGGGUGCAAGCGUUAAUCGGAAUUACUGGGCGUAAAGCGUGCGCAGGCGGCUUUGCAAGACAGAUGUGAAAUCCCCGGGCUUAACCUGGGAACUGCAUUUGUGACUGCAUGGCUGGAGUGCGGCAGAGGGGGAUGGAAUUCCGCGUGUAGCAGUGAAAUGCGAAGAUAUGCGGAGGAACACCGAUGGCGAAGGCAAUCCCCUGGGCCUGCACUGACGCUCAUGCACGAAAGCGUGGGGAGCAAACAGG
Molecule: ribosomal RNA, 253 nt
Filed under: uncultured bacterium
Lineage: Bacteria
Description: partial 16S ribosomal RNA
Rfam family: Bacterial small subunit ribosomal RNA
Source: RNAcentral